GGACUCAGUGUACUACAGGAGGACUCAGUGUACUACAGGAGGACUCGCUGUACUACAGGAGGACUCAGUGUACUACAGGAGGACUCAGUGUACUACAGGAGGACUCAGUGUACUACAGGAGGACUCGCUGUACUACAGGAGGACUCAUUGUACUACAGGAGGACUCAGUGUACUACAGGAGGACUCAGUGUACUACAGGAGGACUCGCUGUACUACAGGAGGACUCGCUGUACUACAGGAGGACUCAGUGUACUACAGGAGGACUCGCUGUACUACAGGAGGACUCAGUGUACUACAGGAGGACUCGCUGUACUACAGGAGGACUCAGUGUACUACAGGAGGACUCGCUGUACUACAGGAGGACCCAUUGUACUACAGGAGGACUCAGUGUACUACAGGAGGACUCGCUGUACUACAGGAGGACUCGCUGUACUACAGGA
Long non-coding RNA from Dicentrarchus labrax (European seabass), 440 nucleotides. RefSeq lists it as uncharacterized. The transcript has 3 exons. The record is from RefSeq and is a predicted model, not a curated record. NCBI's taxonomy places the organism in Eukaryota, Metazoa, Chordata, Actinopteri, Moronidae.